GCAAACUUGGUCAUUUAGAGGAAGUAAAAGUCGUAACAAGGUUUCCGUAGGUGAACCUGCGGAAGGAUCAUUGAUAAUGAGUUUGGGGGGGGAGAAGGGGUGUGUUGUGGCAUUUCUUCUUCUUUCCCUGUUGACCAUGUGAAUUACACGCUCAGAUAUGAGUUGUGGGGAGAAGAAUAAACGAGAGAAAUUAUUUGUUUUUGGAAUUUGGGAUAAAAAAACUUUUAACAAUGGAUCUCUAGGCUCUUGCAUCGAUGAAGAACGCAGC
Molecule: unclassified non-coding RNA, 268 nt
Filed under: uncultured fungus
Lineage: Eukaryota; Fungi
Description: partial contains small subunit ribosomal RNA, internal transcribed spacer 1, and 5.8S ribosomal RNA
Rfam family: Eukaryotic small subunit ribosomal RNA (bases 1-73)
Source: RNAcentral